Molecule: ribosomal RNA, 512 nt
Filed under: Euphausia hemigibba
Lineage: Eukaryota; Metazoa; Arthropoda; Malacostraca; Euphausiacea; Euphausiidae
Description: partial 16S ribosomal RNA
Rfam family: Bacterial large subunit ribosomal RNA
Source: RNAcentral
GUCUUUAUGAAAAAUUUAUAAAGUCUGGCCUGCCCACUGAUUUUUUAAAGGGCCGCGGUAUUUUGACCGUGCAAAGGUAGCAUAAUCAUUAGUCUUUUAAUUGGAGGCUCGUAUGAAUGGUUGGACAAAAAAUAAGCUGUCUUCAGCCAAAUUUAUUGAAUUUAACUUUUAAGUAAAAAGGCUUAAAUAAUUUAAAGUGACGAUAAGACCCUAUAAAACUUGAUAAAUAAAAUUAAAAAUAAAUAUUAGUUAAUUAAAUUUUUUUUUGUGAAGUUUAUUUUAUUGGGGCGAUAAAAAUAUAAAUAGUAACUGUUUUUAAUAUUUUAAUGAUAAUAGUCAAAAAUUAAAUGAUCCUUUAAUAAAGAUUAUAAGAUUAAGUUACUUUAGGGAUAACAGCGUGAUUUUCUUUGAGAGUUCAUAUCUACAAGAAAGAUUACGACCUCGAUGUUGAAUUAAAAAUUCUUUAAGGUGUAGCAGCUUUAAAAGAGGGUCUGUUCGACCUUUAAAAUUUU